GUAGAGAGAGCAGAGAAAUAGGAGAGAACUAGUUAUGGUAGAGAAGAUAAGAACAGCCAGGUAGAGAGAGCAGAGAAAUAGGAGAGAACUAGUUAUGGUAGAGAAGAUAAGAACAGCCAGGUAGAGAGAGCAGAGAAAUAGGAGAGAACUAGUUAUGAUAGAGGAGAGAACUAGUUAUGAUAGAGGAGAGAGAACUAGUUAUGGUAGAGGAGAGAGAACUAUUUAUGAUAGAGGAGAGAGAUCGAGUUAUGAUAGAGGAGAGAGAGAAAUAAAGAGUGAGGAUAGACAAGGAAGAAGAGGAAGAGGAGGAGGAGGAAGAGGAGGGUCUCGCUGGCAGAUGAAGAUGUGAGGCUUCCAGGAUUGGCUCAGAGAAGAAGAAGUAAGAAGAGGACAAGGUGCCAGCGUUACUUUCCUACAAAGAGAUGCAACGUAGAAGAGGAGAGGGGGAGUGAAAGAGAAGAGGAGAGGGGGAGUGAGAGAGAGGAGGAGAGGUGGAUGGAGAGAGAAGAGGAGAGGGUGAGUGAGAGAAGGAGAGGUGGAGUGAGAGAGAAGAGGAGAGGUGGAUGGAGAGAGAAGAGGAGAGGGGGAGUGAGAGAGAAGAGGAGAGGUGGAGUGAGAGAGAAGAGGAGAGGUGGAGUGAGAGAGAAGAGGAGAGGUGGAGUGAGAGAGAAGAGGAGAGGUGGAGGGAGAGAGAAGAGGAGAGGUGGAUGGAGAGAGAAGAGGAG
Oncorhynchus tshawytscha (Chinook salmon) is the source of this 725-nucleotide long non-coding RNA. The record is from Ensembl. Lineage: Eukaryota; Metazoa; Chordata; Actinopteri; Salmoniformes; Salmonidae.